GGAUAACCUGCCCUUGGGUCCGGCAUAACCCCGGGAAACUGGGGAUAAUUCCGGAUAACGCACAUAUGCUGGAAUGCUUUAUGCGUCAAAUGGAUUCGUCUGCCCAAGGAUGGGUCUGCGGCCUAUCAGGUAGUAGUGGGUGUAAUGUACCUACUAGCCGACGACGGGUACGGGUUGUGAGAGCAAGAGCCCGGAGAUGGAUUCUGAGACAUGAAUCCAGGCCCUACGGGGCGCAGCAGGCGCGAAAACUUUACAAUGCGGGAAACCGUGAUAAGGGGACACCGAGUGCCAGCGUCAUACGCUGGCUGUCCAGAUGUGUAAAAUACAUCUGUUAGCAAGGGCCGGGCAAGACCGGUGCCAGCCGCCGCGGUAACACCGGCGGCCCGAGUGGUGAUCGUGAUUAUUGGGUCUAAAGGGUCCGUAGCCGGUUUGGUCAGUCCUCCGGGAAAUCUGAUAGCUUAACUGUUAGGCUUUCGGGGGAUACUGCCAGACUUGGAACCGGGAGAGGUAAGAGGUACUACAGGGGUAGGAGUGAAAUCUUGUAAUCCCUGUGGGACCACCUGUGGCGAAGGCGUCUUACCAGAACGGGUUCGACGGUGAGGGACGAAAGCUGGGGGCACGAACCGGAUUAGAUACCCGGGUAGUCCCAGCCGUAAACGAUGCUCGCUAGGUGUCAGGCAUGGCGCGACCGUGUCUGGUGCCGCAGGGAANCCGUGAANCGAGCCACCUGGGAAGUACNGCCGCAAGGCUGAAACUUAA
Molecule: ribosomal RNA, 759 nt
Filed under: uncultured archaeon
Lineage: Archaea
Description: bacterial SSU rRNA
Rfam family: Archaeal small subunit ribosomal RNA
Source: RNAcentral